AACGAACGCUGGCGGCGUGCCUAACACAUGCAAGUCGUGCGAGAAAGUUCCUUCGGGAGCGAGUAAAGCGGCGCACGGGUGAGUAACACGUAGGUAACCUGCCCCCCAGUCUGGAACAACUAGAGGAAACUCUAGCUAAUGCCGGAUGAGACCACGAUCCCUUCGGGGGUUGCGGCCAAAGAUGGCCUCUACUUGUAAGCUAUCGCUGAGGGAUGGGCCUGCGGGCCAUUAGCUUGUUGGUGAGGUAACGGCUCACCAAGGCUGUGAUGGCUAGCUGGUCUGAGAGGAUGACCAGCCACACUGGGACUGAGACACGGCCCAGACUCCUACGGGAGCAGCAGUGGGGAAUAUUGCGCAAUGGGCGAAAGCUGACGCAGCGACGCGCGUGGGUGAUGAAGG
This 399-nucleotide ribosomal RNA is filed under the name uncultured bacterium. RNAcentral's name for it is "bacterial SSU rRNA". It matches the Rfam family "Bacterial small subunit ribosomal RNA", at positions 29 to 414 of the family's 1533-position model. The record is from RNAcentral.